GAACCUUACCUGGGCUCGAAAUGGAGUGGACCGCGGUAGAAAUAUCGCUUCCCCGCAAGGGGCUGCUCUAUAGGUGCUGCAUGGCUGUCGUCAGCUCGUGUCGUGAGAUGUUGGGUUAAGUCCCGCAACGAGCGCAACCCUUAUUACCAGUUGCUACCAUUUAGUUGAGCACUCUGGUGAGACUGCCUCGGAUAACGGGGAGGAAGGCGGGGAUGACGUCAAGUCCUCAUGGCCUUUAUGUCCAGGGCUACACACGUGCUACAAUGGCCGGUACAAACCGUCGCAAACCCGCGAGGGGGAGCUAAUCGAAAAAAGCCGGCCUCAGUUCGGAUUGGAGUCUGCAACUCGACUCCAUGAAGCUGGAAUCGCUAGUAAUCGCAGAUCAGAACGCUGCGGUGAAUACGUUCCCGGGCCUUGUCACACCGA
This 426-nucleotide ribosomal RNA is filed under the name uncultured soil bacterium. RNAcentral's name for it is "bacterial SSU rRNA". It matches the Rfam family "Bacterial small subunit ribosomal RNA", at positions 966 to 1393 of the family's 1533-position model. The record is from RNAcentral.